CUCUGUUUCAAGUGGCCAGGCCAUUCAAGUGCGCGAUCCGAUCUCCCUCUUCUCUCUGCUCCUUUUCCUUCAUGGUUGCUCUCUCUCGUCCAGAAACCCUGCUCUCUCUCGUCCAGAAACCCUAACCCCAAUCCCUUGAAGAAAUGUGAGGUCCCUCUUCUUUGUUUCUCUUCGAAGGAUCCAAAGAGAAACAAAGAAGAGGAUCUCUCCCGUCCGGAAACCCUAAUCUCCUUCCAAAAUUUUGAGGUCCAUUCUUUGUUUCUGUUUCAAGGAUCCCAGAACAAGUAAAGAGGAGGAUCUCUAACGUCCGGAAACGCUAAUCUCAUUCAAGAAUUUCGAGGUCCCUCUUGUUUGUUUCUAUGCGGAGGACCUAAGAACAAGGAAAGAGGAGGGCAUUCUAGGGAAAUGGGAAUCAUGGUGGAGUCACAACCUAGAUACUGGACGGUCAGACUUCGAAGAGAUCCUUCUGCUCGUAGUCUGCUUCAAAGAAUCCAAGAACAAGGAAAGAGGAGGGCAUUUUGGUGCUGGAGCCAAAGAUCGCAUGCUUCCUGUUCUAUGGUGGACUCAGACCCUGGAGUCUCUUUCCCCCGUGAUACUUGAAGAGAUCCUUUUGGAUGCUUCGUAUUUUUACUAUUUGUUAUUAAAUGAAGCUCUUGGACAGCCAGAACUGCUGCAAAAUGGUCCAGGAUUUUCUUUAGCACAGGUUUCUAAGCGGUGGUGUCUGUGGGCUGUAAGUCAUCAUCCAUUUUGAGCUUGGAUGGGGGCUAAAUAACUCAAAUUCAUGAUUGAAGAACCUUUAGAUCUGGUAAUGUGGCCACCGCUUUUGCAACGAGAUGUACACCCUUUUGUUAUUCAUGAACUAAAGGAGAUCCUGCCCAGCAAGAGGUCUGACAUAGUAAAGGAAGCCACGUCCUUCUACUGGCUCAACUUUUUAAUGCACGGCACAUGGGAUGUCAUGAUGCAACUUCGGUGGAUGAUAGCUUUACGAAGUUUUUUUUCUUUUCUUUUUUUUUUGGCCCAAUUAGCAACUAAACCACAUGUACUCCAUCUGAAAAGUGUUUUUUUUUGGAGGAUGGAAACUCAGGAGGAUCAGAGAGUCAAUCAAGUCUUCGAUGGUGCCAUGCGCCCUCUGAAAAGAGAAACUGAAAGCAGUUUAACUUGUAAUCCAUGGCAAACGCAACGCCCUGAGUGAGGUUCUGGCCGUGCACGUGAUGCCGCGCAUCCCGCGUUGCACGGUGAUGCUGCGUAUCCCAUAUGCGUUCGCACUGUGAUGCCGGGCCCGCAUGUCCAAUGCCGCCCGUCCUGUAUACUAUGCUCCUCCGAGUGUGGUACAUAGAAUGCAUGACAUCACACGCAUGGGCUCGAUAUCACCAUCCAUGUUCAGAUUGCGUUAGCCACUGAGGGCGAGCAUGUUUUGGGGGAAAAGGAAAAGGGGCCCAGGGAGACCAAGCAGGCUAUUGUACCCGAAGCAUGCGCCUUUUUUCUUAUCAGUAAAUUUCUGUAUGUCAAAUGUCACUGUGUUGCUGCAUAACUUGGAAGCAAUUCAGUUUAUGCUUGGCCAUAUUUGAAGUGGGAUGCCCGGCAAGAGAGUAAAAUCUUGGCUUUCCUCGCCUCUUUAA
Long non-coding RNA from Elaeis guineensis (African oil palm), 1619 nucleotides. RefSeq lists it as uncharacterized. NCBI's taxonomy places the organism in Eukaryota, Viridiplantae, Streptophyta, Magnoliopsida, Arecales, Arecaceae. The record is from RefSeq and is a predicted model, not a curated record.